UAGGGAAUCUUCCACAAUGGGCGCAAGCCUGAUGGAGCAACGCCGCGUGAGUGAUGAAGGCCUUCGGGUUGUAAAACUCUGUCUUCUGUGAAGAAACAGCCUGUGAGUGGAAAGCUCAGGCUUUGACGGUAACAGAGGAGGAAGCCACGGCUAACUACGUGCCAGCAGCCGCGGUAAUACGUAGGUGGCAAGCGUUGUCCGGAAUCACUGGGCGUAAAGCGCGCGCAGGCGGCGAUCUACGUCUGGGGUGAAAGCCCGGAGCUCAACUCCGGGACUGCCUUGGAUACGGGAUCGCUUGAGGAUUGGAGAGGCAAGGGGAAUUCCACGUGUAGCGGUGAAAUGCGUAGAGAUGUGGAGGAACACCUGUGGCGAAGGCGCCUUGCUGGCCAAUUUCUGACGCUGAGGCGCGAAAGCGUGGGGAGCAAACA
Molecule: ribosomal RNA, 428 nt
Filed under: uncultured Tumebacillus sp.
Lineage: Bacteria; Bacillati; Bacillota; Bacilli; Caryophanales; Alicyclobacillaceae
Description: partial 16S ribosomal RNA
Rfam family: Bacterial small subunit ribosomal RNA
Source: RNAcentral